CUAGUCUAAUAGUUUGUGAUGUUGCCCUUCACUACAAUAUAACAGGGCUCAACUCUAACUUUCCACCUUACAAACCAGAUCGAUAAAACUGACCGUUUCAGUAAUUGCUACAUAGCUUGACUAUCUUUUCAUUUCUUUAUGCCGCAUUUAAGCUUUAGUUGAUCCAUUUUUAUCAACUUCUUUUGCACUAAUACAAUUUUUGAUCCCAUUCUUCCCCGUUACUUUUGUUCUUUCGUGUGUGCGUCGUGUAUUUUUCCUUUAUUAUCAACUUACUCACGUUUUUUGUUUCCUAAAAGAAGAGGAACAGUGAUUGUAAAGGACAGUAACAAAUCCGACUGGUUGUACGUCAUUGUCUCGGGAGUAUACCAGGUUCUUCUGAGACUUGAAAUAUCUAAACCAAAGUUGUGCGGAAAAAAGCACUAUCGAUACAGCGAAGAUGUAACCGCAGCAGAAAAAUUGGCGCAUUUAACAGACGAACGUCACAGGAAAACCAAUUACUCCGCUUCCAGAUUAAAACGGAUGCCAAGGAACAUGAACAAAUUAGCUUACUCACGAUACCACGUGGAAGAACGUCGCACAAAAUCCCUUCCACCUGUGUUCCCCGUCACUGAAGUUCUGUCCACCAAUCACAAUUAACUAAGAAAACAAACAGCUUUUGUGCAGUUGGGUCUCGUUCAUCCCAAGAGUGUAUUUGUGAGUACUGUAGUUUCCAAAUUGCCGACCGUUGAUUCCUUCCUAUAUAAGUCUUCUCUUCUUUCAGGAAAUUUGUGCCUGUCAUACGUACGGAGCUACGUAAUAAUUAUACACUUUCAUCUCGCCAGGCGCUCGACGAGCCCACCUACUUCUUCAUGUGCGAAAUUUACCUCGAUAGUCAUAGACGAUAAUAAUCGCGUCGGGAAAGUACUUCGGUGGAUGGCUUAGUUCACGCAGUCUGACCUCUUAUUUUGUGGUGCAUAACCCUGUGGUUUCGCCACCUGAACUUGAAAAAGGAAAGACAGAUAGAUAGAUAGUUUUAUUAGGAAGUAAAAUCAUUGCAGCUCCCGGGCCGGCUGAAAUACGACUU
Molecule: long non-coding RNA, 1063 nt
Organism: Stylophora pistillata
Lineage: Eukaryota; Metazoa; Cnidaria; Anthozoa; Scleractinia; Pocilloporidae
Source: RefSeq, a predicted model, not a curated record